RNAcentral lists this ribosomal RNA (489 nucleotides) under uncultured archaeon. RNAcentral describes it as "partial 16S ribosomal RNA". It matches the Rfam family "Archaeal small subunit ribosomal RNA", at positions 348 to 828 of the family's 1478-position model. The record is from RNAcentral.
CUUUCCAAUCCCGCAAAGUGUGAUAAGGGAAUUCYAAGUGCUCAUGCAUUUGCAUGGGCUUUUGCCAAGAGUAAAUAUCUUGGAGAAUAAGUGGUGGGAAAGACUGGUGCCAGCCGCCGCGGUAACACCAGCGCCACGAGUGGCAAUCKUUUUUAUYGGGCCUAAAGCGUCCGUAGCCGGUUUKAUAAAUCUUUUGUGAAAUCGUUGCGCUUAACUUAACGGYGUGCAGGAGACACUGGUUAACUUGGGACUGGGGAGGAGUCAGAGGUAUUCUGGGGGAAGCGGUAAAAUGCUAUAWUCCUCGGARGAMCACCCGUGGSGGAAAGGCGUCUCACUAKAMCGRCUUUKACGGUGAGGGAAGAAAGCUAGGGGAGCAAACCGGAUUAGAUACCCCGGUAGYCCUGGCCAWYAUCCCCCCGMGCUUGGUGUUGCAAAUYUUUCSUGUUUGCACAGUGUCGAAGCGAAGUUGUUAAKCUCGCCGCCUCKAAC